RNAcentral lists this ribosomal RNA (525 nucleotides) under uncultured bacterium. RNAcentral's name for it is "bacterial SSU rRNA". It matches the Rfam family "Bacterial small subunit ribosomal RNA", at positions 775 to 1296 of the family's 1533-position model. The record is from RNAcentral.
AGUAAAUAGAUACCCGGGUAGUCCACGCCGUAAACGAUGUCGACUUGGAGGUUGUGCCCUUGAGGCGUGGCUUCCGGAGCUAAACGCGUUAAAGUCGACCGCCUGGGGAGUACGGCCGCAAGGUUAAAACUCAAAUGAAUUGACGGGGGCCCGCACAAGCGGUGGAGCAUGUGGUUUAAUUCGAUGCAACGCGAAGAACCUUACCUACUCUUGACAUCCAGAGAACUUAGCAGAGAUGCUUUGGUGCCUUCGGGAACUCUGAGACAGGUGCUGCAUGGCUGUCGUCAGCUCGUGUUGUGAAAUGUUGGGUUAAGUCCCGCAACGAGCGCAACCCUUAUCCUUUGUUGCCAGCGGUUCGGCCGGGAACUCAAAGGAGACUGCCAGUGAUAAACUGGAGGAAGGUGGGGAUGACGUCAAGUCAUCAUGGCCCUUACGAGUAGGGCUACACACGUGCUACAAUGGCGCAUACAAAGAGAAGCGACCUCGCGAGAGCAAGCGGACCUCAUAAAGUGCGUCGUAGUCCGG